Molecule: ribosomal RNA, 520 nt
Filed under: uncultured prokaryote
Description: bacterial SSU rRNA
Rfam family: Bacterial small subunit ribosomal RNA
Source: RNAcentral
GGCUUCCUACAUCCAAAAGAAAGGAAUCGGACGGCCGACUGCUUGAGGGAGGAGCCAGCUUGCUCUCUCUAAUACAGGGGGCUCAUGACGGUACCGUAAGAAUAAGCACCGGCUAACUACGUGCCAGCAGCCGCGGUAAUACGUAGGGUGCAAGCGUUAAUCGGAAUUACUGGGCGUAAAGCGUGCGCAGGCGGUUAUGUAAGACAGAUGUGAAAUCCCCGGGCUCAACCUGGGAACUGCAUUUGUGACUGCAUAGCUAGAGUACGGCAGAGGGGGAUGGAAUUCCGCGUGUAGCAGUGAAAUGCGUAGAUAUGCGGAGGAACACCGAUGGCGAAGGCAAUCCCCUGGGCCUGUACUGACGCUCAUGCACGAAAGCGUGGGGAGCAAACAGGAUUAGAUACCCUGGUAGUCCACGCCCUAAACGAUGUCAACUGGUUGUUGGGUCUUCACUGACUCAGUAACGAAGCUAACGCGUGAAGUUGACCGCCUGGGGAGUACGGCCGCAAGGUUGAAACUCAAA